UGUAGGGUGGUGUAUAGGCACAUGAAGUUUUGGACUUUAAGGAAUCAAAUUAAAUUUGGUCUUUAC
RNAcentral lists this transfer RNA (66 nucleotides) under Latona dysoni. RNAcentral's name for it is "tRNA-Gln". The record is from RNAcentral. Lineage: Eukaryota; Metazoa; Arthropoda; Branchiopoda; Diplostraca; Sididae.